GUUAAAGUGUUAUCGUGAUAAGAGCAAUUAAACUAUAAGCGAGAAGUUGUAAGCUCGAAUAACGAGCAAUAAGUGUUAAGCUGUUGGAAUUAGAAAUAAAAAUAAGUGUGUAGCCAUUAAAUUGGGACUUUUAUUUAACAAUCCAGUGAUCGAACUCAAGAGUGAGUUACAGGUAGACGAUAUAUCGAGAAAUCCGUUACAAUACCUUAAUUACAAUAGUCGGUAAUCGACCAGUGGUCGCUUAUCUACUCUUAUUAGACAUUCGUAAUAGGGGCUUUAGUUUUUCUUAAAUAUUGCUCAAUUUCAGUCUUUCUAGAAUAAAUAACGGGUUGUAUUAAUAAAAACAAGCUAUUAUUUAGAAUAAAAUCUCGCAGCAAAGUAAAAGUAUUCAGUAUUUGCUAUGAAUUUGUAUGAAUAAAAAUUAAGCUUUGUUGAUUGAAUCUUAUCAAAAAUCAGUUAAAACUUGAAGAGGAUGGAUCAAGUUUUGGAAGAAUAUUCUCUGUUCAAAGCAGAGGUGGAGUUUCUUCACGAAGAGUGGAACCGUGAUGUCAGUACUCAAUCUGGAUCAAAUACAGAUUCAAAACUAGCAUCUCCACGUAGGGAAGUGAGCGAUAUUAAAUUUGCUCAAGCUUUGGAGUCCGUCGGCAAAGUUUUACUGACGAAAUCUCAAGCUCUAUAUAUUAAUAUCAGAAACAACCAAUCCAGAUAAAAAAAAUAGUUGCUAACCUGAAGCAGGGUCUGAAGGCAAAAGCAGAUUUAAAAAGCAGGUAUAAAUGUCGGUUAAUAUGGUUUUGAAAUAAGUCUUUCUGAACCAAAAUAUUCCAAAAAGUCAUCUGAUGUUAACGCUAGCAUAUUAUCCGAAGACGUAUCAGAUACUCCAGAAACAUCGACAGCAUCUACUAAGAAUGAACGCACCUGCCUUUAAACAAUAAUGAAUAAUUUGGAUAACAUCACGUUGCAGUACUCCGUUUUACAAAAUUAAAUGGAACUUUUAAAUAUGCAGAACAGGAUGCUUAUUGCACAAAAGUAGAGCUUGAUAAGAAAAUGCAGUUGUACGAAAUAAAGGACAAUAAAGGUUUUGGAAGCUUAACUGUUACCGCUUAAAAAAUAAAAUUAACGAAUUUGGGUAAAAAUUAAUAACAGCUAUCUCCUCUUAUGCAAUUAAAGAGAAUUGUAUUAAACACAA
This is a long non-coding RNA of Bactrocera oleae (olive fruit fly), 1186 nucleotides long. RefSeq lists it as uncharacterized. The record is from RefSeq and is a predicted model, not a curated record. Lineage: Eukaryota; Metazoa; Arthropoda; Insecta; Diptera; Tephritidae.